GAUAAAUGUAAUUUUGUUGUUUAUUGGAAUGAUUUCCAUCACAUUUGGAGGAUGUAGGUCGCUUCAGAAAUACCGAGAAUAUAAUUUUGAAUCAGAAUCAGAAUCAGUUUUGAUAUCUCUGGCGAAUGCCGUGAAAUUUGUUUUUCUUUUUAGAUAAAUGGGUCGGGGGUCGAACUGAGAGAAGGCGGACUGUGUGAUUAGCACCUCUAGUGCCAGCAACCCAUUAAAAAGGUGCCCCCCAUCUCUCCGCCUCCCCCACACAGCCUUCAAUUUCACUCAAUUCCCAAAUGUAAAAAAAAAACCGGGCACCACCCUAUUUAGCCCCAAUCCGUACUUGUGUAAAAUUGUAACGUCUUGUCUAAAGGAUGCAAAGAACAAGGUUGUGAAUUUAUCCAACGUUAAACACUGACAUUGAAAGAAACUAAAACCGGUAGCCACAGGUAUAUUGAAAGGGGCAUGUUUAACUCCGAAAAAUAACUGAAUCCAACCUUGAUUAAGUGCCCCGCCUGUUCGCGCCAUUAAGAAUGCUGCAGACGACCCUAUCAAGGUCGUUUCCCAACAGUCACCAGAUAUAAAUAUAUACUUUUUUUUUCCAAAAGGCAACAGCCGAAAUGUUCUGUCAAGUUGGAAAGAAAUGCGUGCGAUGUCGAAAUCUCACGUGUUAAGAUCACUAGUUUGCAGUUUACUACGCGUUUGUCAGAUGCCCGGGACAUAAAAACCAGUCUCAUCUAAUUUUAAACAUCGAAUGUAUGUCUUGGACAGGCUCCCACUGUCAAGAAUCCCGGGUUGUAUAAAAUGUGCGCGUGUGUCUCGUUUCGUGAGGAGUUGGGGUGUUAUUCGUUUACGGUUGAGGAGGAAUUUGCUUUGGGGAAAACUGUCGUAUCAGCGACUACCGAGCUUCAAAUUCCCCCCUUUCUGCGGGAGAAGCUGAUCCCUCUCGACAAACACACCAAGCACCACCUGUCUAGUCAUCUGUCAUAAGUUGAAAACGGAGAUGAACCGUACGAAUCUGUGGCCUUUCGACAGAAAAAAAUACUCUAGACCCCAAAGGUCUGAAUGAGUUCUAGUUGGGACCCCCCAAUAAAUGGAAUCAAAUUUGUUUCAGAUUCCAGAAUAACUCAAACAACUUUGUUGCCACUUCACCCCGAGACCGAAUGCAUAAUGUGCAUUUAAUUACGAUUAUUUUUUUAUCCUUUUAUGGUUCUUUUUCCAGAGACAGUCCGGAUGAAUUAUGAAACCCAGAGGAAAAGAAAUGUUACCUUUGACUUAAUUAGACUUUGUCCCGGGUUAUUUUUGUCAGGCAAAACGAAUAUUUGAAAGGACUGAAGUUUUGCACAUCAAAGGCAGGGUUUGAAUGUUUUUGUGAAAGGGAAACAUUUUGUGCAGAAUGUUUAGAUAAGCAGCCCCAAAUGUCCUUAUCCGGGAUUUAGUAUUUUAAGAGGCACCUCCAGAAGGCAUGGCCGUUGAUGGCUUUACGGAGCACAUGCAGAAGGAUUCAGCAGUGACGAGUAGCUGUUUUAAAAAGCAUUCAAUAAACAGUCAUUUCGAUGCCCAGUUCUCCAUCUCGCUAGACGUCAGCAUAUUAAAGUUCAGAAAGAAACCCGGGCUGAAAGUUUAUAAAUAAGUCUUCUAUCAAGUUCAGUAACAGGUGUGACCUACCCUGUUCAAAAACUGCAGGGUUUAAAGUAGCUUCACGGGAAUAUCUCCACACUUGACACAUGAUUUGAGUGCACUAACAUUUGCCAGAUCCACAGAAGUUUUCAGUCUGGUGGCUUGGCCAUGCCAACCCUAAUUGACACAUACAGCAGCCUGCUCUAAUUAUUGUCUUUAGCAUUGAAAUGCUACAGGCUCAUAUUAAUCCCCCAAUUUAAUGAUUACUUUCAAUAAUUAACGUUAACAACUUUGAUGCUGUUUAUUAUGCUCUUAAAGCUCUUUUGUGAUGGAGCACACAAAAGAAGAUAGAAUCCUAUAAGACCAUAAGAUAUAGGAGCAGAAUUAGGCCAUUUGGCCCAUUGAGUCUGCUCCAUCAUGGCUAAUCCAAUUUUCCUCUCAGCCCCAAUCUUCUGCCUUCAUCCCAUAUCCCUUGAUGCCCUGACCAAUCAAGAAUCCAUCAACGAAUAGCACAGAAAUAAGCCAUUCGGCCCUCGAUCCCCUGCUGACCAUCAAGGACCCAUUAAUCAGCACUCAGUUUGUGUCCUGUGCCUUUGUGAAUGAGAGAUCAACCAAACAGAUUUUAAAAAAUUCUUGAGAUGAGAUAAAGAAAGAGCAUCAGUACAAAAGGCUGGUAUUGUUGUGCAUUUCAGACAAUUUCAGACCUACCCCCUUGUCUUCUCAUACAAUGCAUUCUACAAUAAAACAGAUUAUAAUUAAGAAGUACCUUUAGUAUACAUUCAGUAGCCACUUCAUCAGGCACCUCCCAUACAUAAUGAAGUGGCCACAGAGUGUACGUUCAUGGUCUUCUGCUGCUGUAGCCCAUCCACUUAAACAUUCAACUUGUUGUGCAUUCAGAGAUGCUCUUCUGCACACCACUGUUGUAACGUGUGGUUAUCUGAGUUACCGUCACCUUCCUGUCAGCUUGAACCAGUCUGGCCAUUCUCCUCUGACUUCUCUCAUGAACAAGGUGUUCUUGCCCACAGAACUGGGUAUCUUUUUGUUCACCACACAAUUCUCUAUAAACUCUAGAAACUGCUGUGGGUGAAAACCCCAGGAGAUCAGCAGUUUCUGAGAUACUCAAACCACCCCGUCUGGCACCAAUAAUCAUCCCACGGUCAAAGUCACUUAGAUCACAUUUUCCCCCCAUUCUGAUGUUUGGUCUGAACAACAACUAAACCUCUUGGCCACGUCUGCAUGCUCUUAUGCAUUCAGUUGCCACCGCAUGAUUGACUGGAUUAUUGCAUUAAUGAGCAGGUGUUCUGGUAUACCUAAUAAAGUGGCCACAGAGUGUAUAGCAGACUGCUGUAAUUACUGCCUUUAGCUUUGAACUGUAACAGGCUCAAAUUAUUCCUUGAAUGUAAUGAUUACCUUCAUUAAUUAUCAUUAACAUCUUUGGUGCCUUUUAUUAUGUCCUUAAAACUCCUUUGGUGACAAAGAAGACAGAGUCGCACACCACAGAAAUCGGCUCUUCAGCCCACAAUUCCAUGCAGACCUUCAACGACCCAUGUACAUGAAUUCCAUUAAUCAUUAACUCAGUUUAUGGACUUGGAGGGAUCCCAAGCACCUGGAGGAAAACCACACGCUCACGGGAGGAACAUACAAACUCCUGACAGAGGACGCCAGAAUUGAACUCGGAACUCCAGUGCCCGAGCUGUAGUAGCAUCACGCUACCUUAGUGAAGACCAGGGAAAUUCAGAAGUGUCCUUCCAUUUAAAGCACAUAGGGAUGCAGCAAGGACUGGAUUCUCUUUGGCCCAUUUUGGCGGUGUUGGAACACAAGUUGAAGUUGACUUUUUGAGGGGUAUCUCCAACGUGGGCAGCAUCCAUCAUCAAGGACCCUCACCAUCCAGGACCCGCCCUUAUUGUUACCAUCAGGGAGGAGGCACACGAGACCAAAGUCACAAACUCAACAUUUUAGGAACAGCUUCUUCCCUUCCACCAUCAGAUUUCUGAAUGGACAAUAAACCCACGAUCACAACCUUUGUAUUGCUUAUACAUUGUAUUUUAUUAUAAGAUAGUAAUUUGUACGUUUUGCACUGUACUGCUGCCUGGGAUAAUAAACCUGACUUUAAAUCUGA
Hypanus sabinus (Atlantic stingray) is the source of this 3730-nucleotide long non-coding RNA. RefSeq lists it as uncharacterized. The transcript is spliced from 3 exons. NCBI's taxonomy places the organism in Eukaryota, Metazoa, Chordata, Chondrichthyes, Myliobatiformes, Dasyatidae. The record is from RefSeq and is a predicted model, not a curated record.